UACGUAGGGUGCGAGCGUUAAUCGGAAUUACUGGGCGUAAAGCGUGCGCAGGCGGUUCGUCGUGUCAGAUGUGAAAGCCCCGGGCUCAACCUGGGAAUGGCAUUGGAAACUGGCGGGCUUGAGUGUGGCAGAGGGGGGUGGAAUUCCGCGUGUAGCAGUGAAAUGCGUAGAGAUGCGGAGGAACACCGAUGGCGAAGGCAGCCCCCUGGGCUAACACUGACGCUCAGGCACGAAAGCGUGGGGAGCAAACAGG
Molecule: ribosomal RNA, 253 nt
Filed under: uncultured bacterium
Lineage: Bacteria
Description: partial 16S ribosomal RNA
Rfam family: Bacterial small subunit ribosomal RNA
Source: RNAcentral